This 89-nucleotide microRNA precursor is filed under the name Canis lupus familiaris (dog). Its description in RNAcentral is "mir-8799 microRNA precursor family". It matches the Rfam family "mir-8799 microRNA precursor family". The record is from Rfam by way of RNAcentral. Lineage: Eukaryota; Metazoa; Chordata; Mammalia; Carnivora; Canidae. RNAcentral also lists the same sequence under 1 other name.
AGGGGGAGGCGGGAUCCUGGGCUGUGUUCCGGUGCCCAGUGCUCCCGGGCCUGCACUGUUGGAUUCGCCCUCUGGCUGCGCAGCCCCCU